Molecule: ribosomal RNA, 497 nt
Filed under: uncultured bacterium
Lineage: Bacteria
Description: partial 16S ribosomal RNA
Rfam family: Bacterial small subunit ribosomal RNA
Source: RNAcentral
GAUGAACGCUGGCGGCGUGCCUAAUACAUGCAAGUCGAGUGAACGGACGAGAAUCUUGCUUCUCUGAUGUUAGCGGCGGACGGGUGAGUAACACGUGGAUAACCUACCUAUAAGACUGGGAUAACUUCGGGAAACCGUAGCUAAUACCGGAUAAUAUUUUGAACCGCAUGGUUCAAAAGUGAAAGACGGUCUUGCUGUCACUUAUAGAUGGAUCCGCGCUUCAUUAGCUAGUUGGUAAGGUAACGGCUUACCAAGGCAACGAUGCAUAGCCGACCUGAGAGGGUGAUCGGCCACACUGGAACUGAGACACGGUCCAGACUCCUACGGGAGGCAGCAGUAGGGAAUCUUCCGCAAUGGGCGAAAGCCUGACGGAGCAACGCCGCGUGAGUGAUGAAGGUCUUCGGAUCGUAAAACUCUGUUAUUAGGGAAGAACAUAUGUGUAAGUGACUAUGCACGUCUUGACGGUACCUAAUCAGAAAGCCACGGCUAACUACGUG